ACGCAAUAGAUACCCGGGUAGUCCACGUCCUAAACGAUGUCUACUAGUUGUCGGGUCUUAAUUGACUUGGUAAACGCAGCUAAACGCGUGAAGUAGACCGCCUGGGGAGUACGGUCGCAAGAUUAAAACUCAAAGGAAUUGACGGGGACCCGCACAAGCGGUGGAUGAUGUGGAUUAAUUCGAUGCAACGCGAAAAACCUUACCUACCCUUGACAUGGAAGGAAUCCCUGAGAGAUCGGGGAGUGCUCGAAAGAGAACCUUUACACAGGUGCUGCAUGGCUGUCGUCAGCUCGUGUCGUGAGAUGUUGGGUUAAGUCCCGCAACGAGCGCAACCCUUGUCAUUAGUUGCUACGAAAGGGCACUCUAAUGAGACUGCCGGUGACAAACCGGAGGAAGGUGGGGACGACGUCAAGUCCUCAUGGCCCUUAUGGGUAGGGCUUCACACGUCAUACAAUGGUACAUACAGAGGGCCGCCAACCCGGCGAGGGGGAGCUAAUCCCAGAAAGUGUAUCGUAGUCCGGAUUGUAGUCUGCAACUCGACUGC
Molecule: ribosomal RNA, 544 nt
Filed under: uncultured bacterium
Lineage: Bacteria
Description: bacterial SSU rRNA
Rfam family: Bacterial small subunit ribosomal RNA
Source: RNAcentral